AAUAGAUACCCGGGUAGUCCACGCCCUAAACGAUGUCAACUAGUUGUUGGGGAUUCAUUUCUUCAGUAACGUAGCUAACGCGUGAAGUUGACCGCCUGGGGAGUACGGUCGCAAGAUUAAAACUCAAAGGAAUUGACGGGGACCCGCACAAGCGGUGGAUGAUGUGGAUUAAUUCGAUGUAACGCGAAAAACCUUACCUACCCUUGACAUGCCACUAACGAAGCAGAGAUGCAUCAAGUGCCCGAAAGGGAAAGUGGACACAGGUGCUGCAUGGCUGUCGUCAGCUCGUGUCGUGAGAUGUUGGGUUAAGUCCCGCAACGAGCGCAACCCUUAUCUUUAGUUGCUACGCAAGGGCACUCUAGAGAGACUGCCGGUGACAAACCGGAGGAAGGUGGGGAUGACGUCAAGUCCUCAUGGCCCUUAUGGGUAGGGCUUCACACGUCAUACAAUGGUGCGUACAGAGGGUUGCCAACCCGCGAGGGGGAGCUAAUCCCAGAAAACGCAUCGUAGUCCGGAUCGUAGUCUGCAACUCGACUACG
This 539-nucleotide ribosomal RNA is filed under the name uncultured bacterium. RNAcentral describes it as "bacterial SSU rRNA". It matches the Rfam family "Bacterial small subunit ribosomal RNA", at positions 777 to 1320 of the family's 1533-position model. The record is from RNAcentral.